This 443-nucleotide ribosomal RNA is filed under the name uncultured bacterium. Its description in RNAcentral is "partial 16S ribosomal RNA". It matches the Rfam family "Bacterial small subunit ribosomal RNA", at positions 338 to 795 of the family's 1533-position model. The record is from RNAcentral.
CCUACGGGUGGCAGCAGUGGGGAAUAUUGGGCAAUGGGCGCAAGCCUGACCCAGCAACGCCGCGUGAAGGAAGAAGGCUUUCGGGUUGUAAACUUCUUUUCUCAGGGACGAAGCAAGUGACGGUACCUGAGGAAUAAGCCACGGCUAACUACGUGCCAGCAGCCGCGGUAAUACGUAGGUGGCAAGCGUUAUCCGGAUUUACUGGGUGUAAAGGGCGUGUAGGCGGGAAAGCAAGUCAGAUGUGAAAACCAUGGGCUCAACCUGUGGCCUGCAUUUGAAACUGUUUGUCUUGAGAACUGGAGAGGCAGACGGAAUGCCUAGUGUAGCGGUGAAAUGCGUAGAUAUUAGGAGGAACACCAGUGGCGAAGGCGGUCUGCUGGACAGCAACUGACGCUGAGGCGCGAAAGCGUGGGGAGCAAACAGGAUUAGAUACCCUUGUAGUC